UCCUUUGCAAUGCUGCGUUUCUAUGCUACAAACAGAAAAGUUGAAAAUCACAACUUAUUCAUGAUAGCAAUUGCAUAUGAGAAAUUCGGAGUAAUCUUCAAAGUGUUCAACUCUUAGAUCGUAAUUUAAGAUUUUGGCCUGCCCGUGAGGGUUCAGCGUGAACUCACGCUUGUAAUUGGCAUAAGAAAAGCAGGGCAAGUUUUCACUUUGCUAUUUCCCUCAAAAGGGGUCGUAGUUGAGAUAAAUCUUGUCCCUAUGGGAGAGCCAUUACGAAGAUUGUGUGUGCCUUUGCAUGACACUUAAGUGCAAUACGCAGCGUGUAAAUCCUCAUAACAUUUUAUUUGGAGAUACACAAUUCGAUUCCGAUUACUCUGUUAAGGA
Molecule: RNase P RNA, 381 nt
Filed under: Erysiphe necator (grape powdery mildew)
Lineage: Eukaryota; Fungi; Ascomycota; Leotiomycetes; Helotiales; Erysiphaceae
Description: Nuclear RNase P
Rfam family: Nuclear RNase P
About the family: Ribonuclease P (RNase P) is a ubiquitous endoribonuclease, found in archaea, bacteria and eukarya as well as chloroplasts and mitochondria. Its best characterised activity is the generation of mature 5'-ends of tRNAs by cleaving the 5'-leader elements of precursor-tRNAs.
Source: Rfam by way of RNAcentral